RNAcentral lists this ribosomal RNA (490 nucleotides) under uncultured bacterium. RNAcentral describes it as "partial 16S ribosomal RNA". It matches the Rfam family "Bacterial small subunit ribosomal RNA", at positions 28 to 507 of the family's 1533-position model. The record is from RNAcentral.
GAUGAACGCUAGCGGCAGGCCUAAUACAUGCAAGUCGAACGGGAUCCAGAUCAAAGCUUGCUUUGGUUUGGUGAGAGUGGCGCACGGGUGCGUAACGCGUGAGCAACCUACCCUUGUCAGGGGGAUAGCCCGGCGAAAGUCGGAUUAAUACCGCAUGACAUCAUUGAGAGGCAUCUUUCGAUGAUCAAAGAUUUAUCGGACAAGGAUGGGCUCGCGUGACAUUAGCUAGUUGGUAAGGUAACGGCUUACCAAGGCUAUGAUGUCUAGGGGCUCUGAGAGGAGAAUCCCCCACACUGGUACUGAGACACGGACCAGACUCCUACGGGAGGCAGCAGUAAGGAAUAUUGGUCAAUGGACGGAAGUCUGAACCAGCCAUGCCGCGUGCAGGAAGACGGCCCUAUGGGUUGUAAACUGCUUUUAUACGGGAACAAACGUCGGUACGUGUACCGGUCUGAGUGUACCGUAAGAAUAAGGAUCGGCUAACUCCGUG